AAUCACUGAGUUUCAAUUUCUUGAUAACGAACGUCAAUUCUCGGGUAAAGGAAUCUAAUGCUAAAUGAAUCUUACCCAAAGGAAUAUGGAAUUGAAAUGCGUCUGAAUCACUUGAUUUUGAUUUCUUGAUAACGAACGUCAAUUCUCGGGUAAAGGAAUCUAAUCUAAAGGAGUUUUUGGGUAAAGGAAUCUAAUGCUAAAUGAAUCUUCAGCCAAAGGAAUAUGGAAUUGAAAUGCGUCUGAAUCACUUGAGUUUCAAUUUCUUGAUAACGAACGUCAAUUCUCGGGUAAAGGAAUCGAAUGGUAAAUGAAUCUUCAGCCAAAGGAAUCUAAUGCUAAAUGAAUCUUACCCAAAGGAAUAUGGAAUUGAAAUGCGUCUGAAUCACUGCGUUUCGAUUUCUUGAUAACGAACGUCAAUUCUCGGGUAAAGGAAUUAAAUGGUAAAGGAACGUUAAGGAGUGUCUGCCGCCGCCCCGCGAGCACUAUAGGCCUACGUCGGGGCUCCUCGGGUAGGCCUACGCCAUUCUUCUUAUCACGCUCAGCUUUACUUACUAAUUUUAUCCCCACUGAUGACGAUUUCGACGAUAGGUAUAAAAAAAAGUAUAAAAAAUGCACAAAAAAAUGAUAUCUUAGGACAUUGUUGUUGGUCUUGUCCGGCGCCAGUUACGGUGACGCGGACGACGGUGUGACGGUGACGGCGCUGCUACUGAGCUGUCACUGUUCUUGUUAUUAUUAUUAUUAUUAUUAUUAUGAGUUUCUUUCAGUAUUUUGUACAGAGUUUUUUGUCUCUCGGAAGAAGUAUAAAGCCAAGUGCCAGCCUGAAUAUUUCCUCUCUCUUAUUAUUAUUAUUAUUCAGUUGUGUAUUAAUACUACUUUGAUUUUUACGACAUGAGGAUAUAUUGACAGUAGAGGUGUUAUUAUUCUAGUGUGUGUGUGUGUGUGUGUGUGUGUGUGUGUGUGUGUGUGUGUGUCUGGAUAUUACUAUGAUGACCUAGUGUGUAGCAAGACUCUGAGCCAUAUCAAUAUUAUAGCUUUCAGAUGAAGGAUCUAAUACAAUGAAUAAUCAAGCCAGUCUGCCAAAAACUUAGGCUAAGCGAGGCACUCAAUCCUCCUCCCCCUCCUCACCCUCAUCCUGGCCCCCUCCUCUCCAUCCCAGACUGGGCUGCUCCUCUUUCCCCCUCCUCCUCUUCCCCCCCCCCAUCCCCCCCCCGGGGCAGCAGGCAGCGCGCCACACAGCGGCGCCAGCAAGCCUCGGCUCACACUCUUCCAGCAGCCACUGUUUGUUCCGGUGAGCCGCGGCACCUCGCUGGCUGCCCCGCUGCCCCGCCGGCUGCGUGCCGCCCCGGGGGGCGCGCCGCGUGUGUGUGCUGCACCGUGGCGGUGAGUGUGAGAGGCGUGUGAGUGCGUGCGUGUGUGUGUAGGCCGGGUCGUGAUGGUAGUAUUAGUGCGUCGCGGCCACCAGCGGCGGCCGGCGGGCACGGCCACCACGGCGGGUGUGUGCGUGUGUGCGUGUGCGUGUGUGUACGUGUGUGUGUGGUGCGGUGCCCGCCGCCGCCGCCGCCGCUGUGUCUGUAGCUUGGCCGCCUCGGCUAGUGUUGUGUAGUGCUUCGCGCCGCGGCGCCGCCCUGACGCUGCCGCCGCGGCCCCCCUGUGCUUGUUAGCUUGGCCUGAGGCCCGGCGCGCCGCGGGGGACAGCCCCGCCCCGCCCCGCCCCACCCCGCCGCCCAGUGUGGGGCAUCGCGGGGCCGCGGGGCUGGCCGGGGCCGCCCCCCGGCGCGGCAGAAUAAUUCUUCCAAGGUUAUUAGUCAGUUAAGACACACUCGCCUUCUCUCCCUGUGUUACUAUGUACAAGAACCAAACUUUUCCUUUGCGCCGCCGCUCAUCGGGCCGCCGCCGUACAAACGUUGGAUGCCACCACUGCUCCGCCCGCCCCGCCCCGCCCCGCCCCGCCGCGGGGACACACUCAGUCAGGAUGCAUUUGUGUGUUACGCAACGUAACAGCGACAGUGAGACAACAAGUCCGCGCGGCGCCGCAGCCAUUGUGAUGAGGCCGUCAUGACGAGACGUGUGAUGAUGAUGAUGGUGAUCGUGUUGUCGGGCCGCCGCCGCCGCCGCCGCCGUGCGUGACGUGACCCUCGGCCUGGCCUGGCCUGGCCCGGCGUGUCAGGGCGGGGUCAGCUUCGGCGUUUUCUCAGGAACCUUUGCACAGGGGACGCGGGGGGAGGCGCGGCCCGCGGCGGCCUGCGCGGCGCUACUUACCCGCUCUUCACAGCUUUAGUUUACGAUUCCAUUAGUGUACUUUUAAUGAUCUGCCGUUGUGUGUUGUUGUUGUUGUUCCGAGCCGCGCCGCCCCCCCACGCCGCCCCCGCCGCCGCCGCCGCCGCCGCCCUGCCGCCAGUCACUCCCAGCUAUGCACGGCUGCCGCAGGCGGCGGCGGCGGCGGCGGCGGCGUCCGUGUCGGCUCAGCCAGUCUCCUGUUCUCAUUCUCACGUUCGUGCAAUAUGUUAUCAAAAUACAAAGAUCAUAAAAAUAAUCUGAUGCAUAAAAUUGAUGCACACCCGUGUACGUGUACGCGUAUGUACGUAUGUAAAGACUCAAGGACGCUCCGUGGACAAUCGUGCGGCGGCGGCGGCGGCGCCGCGCACGCUCCGCCGUCGCCGCCGCCGCCGUGAUGUAGUGGAAGAAGCAAGCAGCAAGCAAGCAAUGCCUUAUUGUUCAUUCCUCUUAGCGGGGCACCGCGACCCCCACCACACUACCGUCCUGCACCCCACCCCGCGCGCGUGUGUGUGUGUGUGUGUGUGUGUGUGUGGACCCCAGGCCCUGCCCCAAAGCCAGCCCCUGGCACUGCAGGGCGGGGCUACGUGUGUGUGUGUGCGUGUGUGUGUGUGCACAAGCCGUGUUCGGUGCUAGGCGUGACCCGGACCGUUGUUGGAGGACCACCUGCCCCGCCCCGCCCCGCCCCGCCCCGCCCCGCUGGGUGUAUACAAUAAUUUAGUUUCGCCUGUGAUGUUUUACUCUGUUCCCUGGCCCCGGGCGGCGGCGCCCGCCCCGCCGGCCGCCGCCGCCGCCGCCAUACUCAACUUGGUGUGGACGAGGAGUAAUAUAGAUGAUACUAUACAUAUAAUAACUAUAGAAGAUAUACAUAUAUAAUUAUUAUUAUUAUAGAUAAAUAUAUACAUAAUUAUAGACGCUGUAGGUUACGGUAAUGUGGCGGCCGGGGCGGGGCGGGGCAGGCAGGGGAGGGGGGAAGGCGCCCCCUCACAUGUACCAUAGGAUCUCAGCCCCCACCCACACACCCCUCUCACCCCACCACCCCCACACAGGGCCUCCUCCCCCUCCCCCCCCCACCACACCCCCUCACACCCGUGGCCACACAUCCUCCUCGCCGGGAGCCUCACACACACACACACACACACACACACACACACACACACACACACACACACACACACACUCUUGGCAUGUAGGGACAAGCCAAGAAGCAUUUAGUCGUAACCUCAAAAGAAAACCCCCGCGACGACAAACCCGCUGUGUGACCUUCCAGAAGAAAAAAAAACGCGAAAAACUCGUAUAAAAAAAAACGGAGAUGGAUUCUGAGACACACACAAACGAACACACAAACACACACACACACAGCAACGAGGUGAGGCUUUGGCGAAGAUGACGACCGAUCUAUAUUAAACAAACAAACAAAAAAAAAAUAUAUAUACAAAAAAAGCGAGAAAAAAAAAACGAAAACAACAACAGCGAGCCAGUGAUUGAGCGACGCGUUUCUGUGCCGAGGUGAGCCGCGCCGAGCCCAGCCGAGCCGAGGUGAGCCGAGGCCGAGCUAAGCGAGGCGGGUGUCGAUGUUUCAAGGUUGUGAGCCUAAAUGUGUGAUAACCUUCCUCUGGUCAAAAUAAAUGAACAUAUAUUGGGGGUAGGCCUAAUGCCCCGCCCCCGCCCCCUGCCCCUCAUGCCCUAUACCCCCCCCCCUACCCCCCCAGUGCAACGUUACAUGUGCCUUGUGUGUGUGUGUGUGUGUGCGUGCGUGUGUGUGUAAGUACGUAAUGACUUCAACACCACCACCACCACCACCGCCACCACCACACACACGCCCCACCACCACCACCACCACCACCACCCCACCCCUCGCCCCAUCCCCCCAACAACCCCCCCCCCCCGGUGGUACCUCUCUAAGCGGGGCCGCACGGGGCAAUAUCUAGGGGCCAUGGGGCUUUUUUUUACCCCACUGUAUUAUUUUAAGACAAUUAAAAAAAAGUAAAAAAAAAAUAUUACGCUUGAGAAAGAGCAACAGCGGCCAUGGUGAGAGAGAGAGAGAGAGAGAGAGAGAGAGAGAGAGAGAGAGAGAGAGAGACCCCAGUGUGUGGGGUGCAGGGAUAAGGAGAGAGACACAGCCAGCCUCAGCGCGAGAGAGAGAGAGAGAGAGAGAGAGAGGAAUCCCAGUAACUCGACAUAGUGCUUUGUCCCCAAGUGUAUGUGUGUGUGUGUGUGUGUGUGUGUGUGUGUGUGUGUGUGUGUGUGUGUGUGUGUGUGUGUGUAUGCUUCCACUCGCUGGGUCAAGUCAGUCAGGUCAGGUCAGGUCAAUCUGCCCUGACCUCGGUGUGGCACAGACGUACUUAACCAAUGACAGCCGCCACAGCCGCCGCCGCCGCCGCUGUUGCUCUUUGUCGCGUGGGGGGCGGCUCGACACACUGAGUUCCGCCCGAGCCAAGCCGCCACAGAGCAUCGAGCCACAGAGCCAGAGCCAGAGAAAUAGGAGCAUUUGAUAUCUGUAGAGUCUUACAUAUGGCUCUGUGUGUUAGUGAAGACUCCUACGACCACUAUAGAGUCUUGUGUGUCUCUGUUAAUAAGACUCAAGACCUUUGUAGAGUCUAGUGUCUGUAUGUUAAUAAGACUCGUAUGACAUCUGUAGAGUCCAACUUAUGGCUCUAUGUGAUAAUAAGACUCGUAUGACAUCUGUAGUCUCAUGUACGGCUCUGUUAGUGAGGACUUUUACGACCUCUAUAGAGUCUCAUGUGUCUGUGUUAAUAAGACUCGAAUGACAUCUGUAGAGUCUUACGUAUGGCUCUGUGUUGAUAAGACUCUAUGACAUCUGUAGAGUCUUACGUAUGGCUCUGUGUUGAUAAGACUCGUAUGACAUCUGUAGAGUCUCAUGAAUGGCUCUGUUAGUGGACUCUUCCGACCCCGCUGAGUCUGCCGCCGCCGCCCCUGUGCCUGGCCGCCCCCCCGCCGCCCCUUCCUCUUCUUCCCGUGCGCUAAGUCCUCCUGUUGUAAAAGGAUCCUGAUUCCAAAGAGCGCUGGAGUUGUUGUUGUAUGGCUUUGGGUGAUAAAACUUGUAUUAUGAUUUCCGUACCUGACCUUGUACAAGUCAAGAUAUUCUUUUUAAUACUGCUAUAAUAAAUAGAUUAAUAAAUAAAAAGCGUUGACUCCGACGAUUCCAUAUUGAAGUGGUAAUAAUAAUAAUAAUAAUAAUAAUAAUAAUAAUGGUAAUUUUAAUGGUAACAGUACUACUAUUACUACUACUACUACUAUGAUGAUGACGCAAUCGCUGACCUCGACACCAACAGCAGCGAUGACCUCUGACCUGCCGGGGUACGGGGUCAGGCUACCCGGCCCUCCCCCUUGGCAGGCUGGGUCAGUAUGGGUGCUGGGCGGGGCACUGGGAGGGCACGGGUCACCACCUUGCCCCGCCCCGCCCCGCCUUAUCUCCAUGCAGCUUUGUCUGAUGCAUUUCCCCGGAGACUUGGCGGUCCCUGAGUGCCAUAGUGUGCCACUCACGUCUAGGGGCCGACAUCUUGGUUAUGGUGCCAAAUUAAGAUAGUAAUAAUAAUAAUAAUAAUAAUAAUAAUAAUAUAAUAGUUCAUACUUCUACACUACGCUAGCUAAAACUAUCAGACAUGAGAUCACUAGCAACUGUAUCUCUGUGGUAAGGUCAGGUCGUGAGGUCGCUGGGUGGGGGUGGUUGUCAAGGUCGUUUUAUGCCGCCGUUUUAUGCCUCUCUCGUUCUCUGACCUUAUUUUGCUGACCUUACGUUUCUGACCUUAUUUUUCUAACCCCAUUUUUCUGACCUUAUUUUGCUGACCUUAUUUUUCUAACCCCAUUUUUCUGACCUUAUUUUUCUGACCUUACGUUUCUGACCUUAUUUUGCUGACCUUAUUUUUCUAACCCCAUUUUUCUGACCUUAUUUUCUGACCAUUUUCCUUCCUUUUCUCUUUUUCUGACCUUUUUUUUCUCUUUUUCUCUCUGUCUUUCCCUCCUUCCUUCCCUUCCAAUUAUUUUCUCUCUCUCUCUCUCUCUCUCUCUCUCUCUCUCUCUCUCUCUCUCUCUCUCUCUCUCUCUCUCUCUUCCUUUCCCUUCUUCCUUCCUUCCUUCCUUUUCUUCCUUUUUUUAUUUCUUUUCUCUUUCUUUCCCUUCAUUUCCAUCCCAAUUUUUCUUCAUUUUCAUCCAAUUUCUCUUCCUUUCCCUUCAUUUUCACUCCUAAUCUCUCCUUCUCUUCCUUCCCUUCCUUUCCAUCUCCAAUUUCUCUUCCUUUCCCUUCCUUUCCAUCUCCAAUUUCUCUUCCUUUCCCUUCAUUUUGACUCCCAAUUUCUCUCCUCGUCCUUCCUCUUCCUGUACCCAGCGAGAGGAAGACUUGGUUCUAUACGGCGGAUGAGAGACGAGACGGAGGCAGAAAGCGCCGCCCGACAACCCCCCUCACAGCGGCCUCACCACUCUGCCCUCGCCACGGGUCUAGCUUGAGUGUGUGCGUGCGUGCGUGCGUAGGUAGCGGGUCUGGUCAUUAUUUGUCUUAUCUUAGCAAAGUACACAAAUCGUUCUCCUAGGCUGUGUUCCUCUCUCACCGAUUCCAAGUGUGUCGUGGUUGUCGGUGUUGCAGGCGGGGCCCCACACACUCCGCGGGGCCGCCAGCUGGACCUGACCCCAGCACGAUGAUGAUGAUGAUGACUAAUGAUGUGAGGGCAUAAUAGGUGUAAUCCAAACAUCAAGACAUAUCCCACACCCCGCCACGGGCCGCGGGGGUGAACCAAAGCAUUUGUGUAUUAGCGCUGCCCCCCGCCCCCCGACCCGUCCUGCCGGGGCGGGGCGGGGGCCUCGGGGCGCCCCAGCGUCGGCAAGUCUUUCCAUGUUAACCUCUAUGGUAUUAUCACACCAGCACCGGUAACAGUCAGAGUUUUGUAUUAGAGGAAGCGACGACUACGUACGUUUUAUACCUAUAUUUUUAGAUGUGCGAGAGAGAGAGAGAGAGAGAGAGAGAGAGAGAGAGAGGGGACGAUGGGCGGGGCGGGCGGGGGUCAGGGCGGGGCUCCGUCGUCGCGCCCCCGCCCGCCCCGCCGCGUUGCAAUGUCCGCCAGUAUUUGAAGCCUCAAGUAAUAUGAGAGAUUGAAUCACUGGUGUUUUGUCGUAUUGGCCAAUUGCUCAUAAUGUAGUGUGAUGAUGUGUUCACUUCUGGUCUAAGCUCUUUUACAACAGGGAGUAUCUUAGUAGCCUAGCAGCGGUCCCCUAAUAUUAUAACCUAGUGAGUCUAGCUAUACUAAAGCGUAAGCGUAAUAACGUAAGGAAACCGUAAAUUCUAAGGCAGUAUAUCGUAAGGUCGUAAGUAAGGUUGCUGAACACUACUCUUAGGUGCCGUGUCUGUCUGUCUGUCUGUGUGUCUGGCGGGCUGUAGGUGCGGCUGUCGCUGGGCCAAAAAAAAUCUUCUUAAAAAGUCGUGUAUUGAAGAGCUUAAUCUUGAGGCGUCUCUCUAGAGGAAAGAGUGGUGGCAUCGCGAACGUGACCUUAGACAUAUAAGGCUUACUACUACUACUACUACUACUACUACUACUACUACUACUACAGAUAUUAUAGUGAAAAAUGCCUACAAAAAAAAAGUUAUCCGCUAUCGUCAAUGGGGAGGUUAUCUCUGUGUGUUGCUGCUCAGGGUUACGCAGCCUGUCCCUGCAUGUGGCGGCCGGCUGAGGUUGUGAGCGCCCCCUUAACACCCCUUAAGCCCCCCUUAACACCCCUUUUGGACCCUCCUUGACCCCCACUUUGGACCCCCCUUAGACACCCCUUUGGACCCCCCUUAAUGCCCCUUAACACCCCUUUUUUUUUACCUCCAUUUCUGAUCCAUUUCUCUUCCUCAAUUUUGUUUUUUCAUUUCCUUUCUUCCUCCUCCUCCUCCUGACCUCCAUUUCUAAUCCAUUUCUCUUCCUCUUCUUCCUUGCUCUUGUCCUCCUCCUCCUCCUCUUCCUCCCUUCCUUCACCUCCUCCUCCUCCUCCUCCUCCUCCUCCUCCUCCUCCUCCUCCUCCUCCUCCUCCUCCUCACAAUCAUCUUCUCUUCCUCCCUUCCUUCACCUCCCCCCAGCCAGUCCCUUCCCUUCCCUACCUUCUCCUCCUCCUCCUCCUCCUCCUCCUCCUCCUCCUCCUCUCCCCAGGGGCGGAGGGUCGUGGUCACCUCCCUGUCCAGUGAGCUUCUCUAGUCCUGAGGCCCCACCCCGCCCCGGCCUGCCCCGGCAGCGCCCGGCGGGAGGCCUCUCCCCUCCAGGAGGCCCACGCCCCCUCCGCCCCGCCCCGCCCCGCCCCGCAGCAGCUGGAGCCAUGUCGGUGCUCCCCGCGUGCCUCUCUCGUGUGUUCAGGUGCCCCGGCCCCGCCCCGUAUGCAAGCCUCAGUUUCCACCAGCCGGCCGGGGCACACCACCACCACCACCACACCACCACCACACCACCACCUCCACCUCUUGUGACAUGACACGCUGCAGCUGCUGCCCCUGACCUUACCUGACCUUACUCUAUCCUCCCCUCCUGUCCUAUCCCUCCCCAUGGGGCCGCCCCGCCGAGCCGCCGCCGCCUAGCAAGCCCCCGGGAGCAAUAAGGUGAGCUGUGGCCCUCCAGCGCUGCAUUUCCCAGCCGCCGCAGCCGCCGCCGCCGCCGCUGAGGUGACGGGGCACGGGGCGACGAUUCUCAAACGGUGCGGACGCGAAGAUUGUCACGGGGGGUUUUGAGACCGUGUUGAACGUACAAGGACUUUUAAGGGUUUUGGAAGGCUGUGUCAAAAGAGGAGGUUCCCAAGAGUGGUUUUGUUGUUAAUGUAAGCCAUGUUGAAGGUACGAGGAAUUUUAAAGGUUUUUGAAGGCUAUGUUAAAAAGAUCAGGUUCCCAGGAGUGAUUUUGUUGUUUAUGAAGGCCAGGUUGAAAGUACGAGGAAUUUUAAAGGUUUUUGAAGGCUAUGUUAAAAAGAUCAGGUUCCCAGGAGUGAUUUUGUUGUUUAUGAAGGCCAGGUUGAAAGUACGAGGAUCUUUAAUGGGUUUUGGAAGGCUGUGUUAAAAAGAGGAGGUUCCCAGGAGUGAUUUUGUUACAUUUGGAAGGCGUGUUGAAGGUGUGUCGGGUUCCCAAGAGUGGUUUUGUUGAAGGCUGUGUUAUAUUGGCAUCAAACCCUCUUCAAAACCUCUUAAAGUGGCAUUAAAACCUCUUCAAAACCUCAGAAAUUGGCCUCAAAACCUCUUAAAGUGCCAUCAACACCUCUUCUAAACCUCUUAAAAUGGCCUCAAAACCUCUUAUAGUGGCCUCAAAACCUCUUAAAAUGUCCUCAUAACCUCUUAGUGGCAUCAAAACCUCUUAAAUUGACCUCAGUACCUUUUAGUGGCAUCAAAACCUCUUCAAAACCUCUUAAAUAGGCCUCAAAACCUCUUCAAAGCCUCAAACUGGCCUCAAAACCUCUUAAAUCUGCCUCAAAACCUCUUAAAUCUGCCUCAAAACCUCUUCAAAACCUCUUAAAUUUGCCUCAAAACCUUAUCAAUGACCUCAAAACCUCUUAAAUCUGCCUCAAAACCUUAUCAAUGACCUCAAAACCUCUUAAAGUGUCCUCUUAAAACGGCCGCUUAAAAUGACCUCAGAAAAUGGCCUCAAAACCCUUAAAAUGGCCUCAAAACCUCCUCGAAGUCAUCCUAACCGUUUGAGAAUACGCGUCCCUCUCAGGCCCCCAAGAAUAGAUGUCAGGUCUCGGCCAUUGGCGCCAGAUUGUUGUGCUCAGAUCAUUGUUGUUUUAACCGGUUACCGACGCUUAACAACUACCAAAACACCUCGGAAUUAAUGACUGUAAUGAUAAUUUGGAGUGAAUCAUGUUUUAGGCCUACAGGAGAUUGUUUAUAGGGUGGAAAGCUGGGAAAUAUAUGUGAUUGGGCAGAACGUAAGAACUAGCCGCCUCUUGCAGACUCCUAUGUUCUUAUGUGUUCUUUUGAGAGACGGUUCUUAGGGUGGAACGCUAGAAACAUAUGUGAUUUAGCAGAACGUAAGAACUACCAGCCUCUUCCAGACUCCUAUGUUCUUAUGUGUUCUUUUGAGAGACUGUUCUUAGGGUGGAACGCUAGAAACAUAUGUGAUUUAGCAGAACGUAAGAACUACCAGCCUCUUCCAGACUCUUAUGUUCUUAUGCGUUCUUAUGAGAGACUGUUCUUAGGGUGAAACGCUUGAAACAUAUGAGUUAGCUGAAGAACAUGUUAACUCCCGGCCUCUUGCAAACUCCUAUGUUCUUAUGUGUUCUUAUGAGAGACGGUUCUUAGGGUGAAACGCUGGAAACAUAUGAGUUAGCUGAAGAACAUAUUAACUCCCGGCCUCUUGCAGAUUCCUAUGUUCAUAUCAGUAGACGGUUUUAAGGGUGGAACUCUGGAAACAUUUGAGUGAGCAGAACAUAAGAGCUAGCAGCCUCUUGCAGACUCCUACGUUCUUAUGUUCUUACGACAAUCUGGCGCAAUGGUCCCGGCGGCGGCUGGCGGGCACGGCGGUCUGUCCUGUGCAUGGCGGUAGAAUUGGUGGAGUCGGCGUCAGCCCUGAAAAAAGUGAAUCCCCUGAACUGUCACUUUUGGGGCCGCGAGGUUGUGUCCAGGUGUUGUCAGGUCAGGUAUUUAUGACAUGGAUCUACCGCAUCAAUAAAUGUAUACAGUUUAAUGAUAGCAACCAGGUAGCGGACGUGAGCUUUCAUCUUGCGGCCGUACCAGUGACAGUGAUGAGAUUAGCGGGCCGUGCCGACUCCACGAAUUCCACCUCCAUGAUCCUAUGUCCCCCGUACGCUGCACAUUCCCACGAGCUAGUCAGGGCAGGCUACCCCACACAUGCCCCGCCCUCGGCCCCUCUGUCAACAAGCAAACCCUCGCUGGUCAGUGGUCUGGACAGGUCGGCGACGCUUUUAAUAUAAUUAUUUAUACAGGCUUUCUUGUACUGAAUGUUACAAUAUGCAUCAAUAAAUUUGGUCUCAGUGUUUA
Long non-coding RNA from Eriocheir sinensis (Chinese mitten crab), 11235 nucleotides. RefSeq lists it as uncharacterized. NCBI's taxonomy places the organism in Eukaryota, Metazoa, Arthropoda, Malacostraca, Decapoda, Varunidae. The transcript is spliced from 2 exons. The record is from RefSeq and is a predicted model, not a curated record.